Molecule: transfer RNA, 80 nt
Filed under: Spirochaetales bacterium
Lineage: Bacteria; Pseudomonadati; Spirochaetota; Spirochaetia; Spirochaetales
Description: tRNA-Leu
Rfam family: tRNA
About the family: Transfer RNA (tRNA) molecules are approximately 80 nucleotides in length. Their secondary structure includes four short double-helical elements and three loops (D, anti-codon, and T loops).
Source: RNAcentral
GCGAAAGUGGUGGAAUUGGCAGACACGCCAGAUUUAGGUUCUGGUGCCACGGCGUAGGGGUUCAAAUCCCCUCUUUCGCA